Molecule: ribosomal RNA, 468 nt
Filed under: uncultured bacterium
Lineage: Bacteria
Description: partial 16S ribosomal RNA
Rfam family: Bacterial small subunit ribosomal RNA
Source: RNAcentral
GACGAACGCUGGCGGCGUGCUUAACACAUGCAAGUCGAACGGAAAGGCCCUGCUUUUGUGGGGUGCUCGAGUGGCGAACGGGUGAGUAACACGUGAGUAACCUGCCCUUGACUUUGGGAUAACUUCAGGAAACUGGGGCUAAUACCGGAUAGGAUCUCCUGCUGCAUGGUGGGGGUUGGAAAGUUUCGGCGGUUGGGGAUGGACUCGCGGCUUAUCAGCUUGUUGGUGUGGUAGUGGCUUACCAAGGCUUUGACGGGUAGCCGGCCUGAGAGGGUGACCGGCCACAUUGGGACUGAGAUACGGCCCAGAAUCCUACGGGAGGCAGCAGUGGGGAAUAUUGCACAAUGGGCGGAAGCCUGAUGCAGCAACGCCGCGUGCGGGAUGACGGGCUUCGGGUUGUAAACCGCUGUCGCCUGUGACGAAGCGUGAGUGACGGUAAUGGGUAAAGAAGCACCGGCUAACUACGUG